RNAcentral lists this ribosomal RNA (551 nucleotides) under uncultured Mycobacterium sp. Its description in RNAcentral is "bacterial SSU rRNA". It matches the Rfam family "Bacterial small subunit ribosomal RNA", at positions 347 to 916 of the family's 1533-position model. The record is from RNAcentral. Lineage: Bacteria; Bacillati; Actinomycetota; Actinomycetes; Mycobacteriales; Mycobacteriaceae.
GGCAGCAGUGGGGAAUAUUGCACAAUGGGCGCAAGCCUGAUGCAGCGACGCCGCGUGAGGGAUGACGGCCUUCGGGUUGUAAACCUCUUUCAGCAGGGAAAGUGACGGUACCUGUAGAAGAAGCACCGGCCAACUACGUGCCAGCAGCCGCGGUAAUACGUAGGGUGCGAGCGUUGUCCGGAAUUACUGGGCGUAAAGAGCUCGUAGGUGGUUUGUCGCGUUGUUCGUGAAAACUCACAGCUUAACUGUGGGCGUGCGGGCGAUACGGGCAGACUGGAGUACUGCAGGGGAGACUGGAAUUCCUGGUGUAGCGGUGGAAUGCGCAGAUAUCAGGAGGAACACCGGUGGCGAAGGCGGGUCUCUGGGCAGUAACUGACGCUGAGGAGCGAAAGCGUGGGGAGCGAACAGGAUUAGAUACCCUGGUAGUCCACGCCGUAAACGGUGGGUACUAGGUGUGGGUUUCCUUCCUUGGGAUCCGUGCCGUAGCUAACGCAUUAAGUACCCCGCCUGGGGAGUACGGCCGCAAGGCUAAAACUCAAAGGAAUUGACGG